CAAUAGCGUAUAUUAAAGUUGUUGCAGUUAAAAAGCUCGUAGUUGGACUUCUGAUGUGGGACUGCGCCCCGGUAUUUUGCCGUUGGGUGCGGGCUCGCGUCUUCCUCUCGUAGUUGGAUGGUGCACUUAACUGGGUGCCUUCUGAAUAUGGGACCUUUACUUUGAAAAAUUAGAGUGUUCAAAGCAGGCAAUCGCUUGAAUACAUUAGCAUGGAAUAAUAGAAUAGGACUUUGGUUCUAUUUUGUUGGUUUCUAGGACCGAAGUAAUGAUUAAUAGGGACAGUUGGGGGCAUUAGUAUUUAAUUGUCAGAGGUGAAAUUCUUGGAUUUAUGAAAGACUAACUACUGCGAAAGCAUUUGCCAAGGAUGUUUUCAUUAAUCAAGAACGAAAGUUAGGGGAUCGAAGACGAUCAGAUACCAU
Molecule: ribosomal RNA, 419 nt
Filed under: uncultured eukaryote
Lineage: Eukaryota
Description: bacterial SSU rRNA
Rfam family: Eukaryotic small subunit ribosomal RNA
Source: RNAcentral